GGACUACACGGGUUUCUAAUCCCAGCCGCGACCCACGCUUUCGUGUUUCAGCGUCAGGAGCGGUCCAGUCUCUUGCCUUCGCUUUUGGUGUUCCCCUAGAUAUCAACGCAUUUCACCGCUACACCUAGAGUUCCAGAGACCCCUACCGUCCUCAAGCAAUGCCGUUUCCCGCGCAGCCUCUCGGUUGAGCCGAAAGAUUUAACGCGAGACUAACAUCGCCGCCUACACACCCUUUACGCCCAAUGAUUCCGGAUAACGCUUGAAGCACUCGUAUUACCGCGGCGGCUGGCAC
Molecule: ribosomal RNA, 292 nt
Filed under: uncultured bacterium
Lineage: Bacteria
Description: partial 16S ribosomal RNA
Source: RNAcentral